Molecule: ribosomal RNA, 865 nt
Filed under: Pseudomonas aeruginosa
Lineage: Bacteria; Pseudomonadati; Pseudomonadota; Gammaproteobacteria; Pseudomonadales; Pseudomonadaceae
Description: partial 23S ribosomal RNA
Rfam family: Bacterial large subunit ribosomal RNA
Source: RNAcentral
GGUCAAGUGAAGAAGCGCAUACGGUGGAUGCCUUGGCAGUCAGAGGCGAUGAAAGACGUGGUAGCCUGCGAAAAGCUUCGGGGAGUCGGCAAACAGACUUUGAUCCGGAGAUCUCUGAAUGGGGGAACCCACCUAGGAUAACCUAGGUAUCUUGUACUGAAUCCAUAGGUGCAAGAGGCGAACCAGGGGAACUGAAACAUCUAAGUACCCUGAGGAAAAGAAAUCAACCGAGAUUCCCUUAGUAGUGGCGAGCGAACGGGGAUUAGCCCUUAAGCUUCAUUGAUUUUAGCGGAACGCUCUGGAAAGUGCGGCCAUAGUGGGUGAUAGCCCCGUACGCGAAAGGAUCUUUGAAGUGAAAUCGAGUAGGACGGAGCACGAGAAACUUUGUCUGAACAUGGGGGGACCAUCCUCCAAGGCUAAAUACUACUGACUGACCGAUAGUGAACCAGUACCGUGAGGGAAAGGCGAAAAGAACCCCGGAGAGGGGAGUGAAAUAGAACCUGAAACCGUAUGCGUACAAGCAGUGGGAGCCUACUUGUUAGGUGACUGCGUACCUUUUGUAUAAUGGGUCAGCGACUUAUAUUCAGUGGCAAGCUUAACCGUAUAGGGUAGGCGUAGCGAAAGCGAGUCUUAAUAGGGCGUUUAGUCGCUGGGUAUAGACCCGAAACCGGGCGAUCUAUCCAUGAGCAGGUUGAAGGUUAGGUAACACUGACUGGAGGACCGAACCCACUCCCGUUGAAAAGGUAGGGGAUGACUUGUGGAUCGGAGUGAAAGGCUAAUCAAGCUCGGAGAUAGCUGGUUCUCCUCGAAAGCUAUUUAGGUAGCGCCUCAUGUAUCACUCUGGGGGGUAGAGCACUGUUUCGGC